This 1909-nucleotide long non-coding RNA is filed under the name Marmota marmota marmota (Alpine marmot). Its description in RNAcentral is "lncRNA (ENSMMMG00000015407.1)". The record is from RNAcentral. Lineage: Eukaryota; Metazoa; Chordata; Mammalia; Rodentia; Sciuridae.
AGGAGGAAUGAGAUCCCAUAUCUGAAAGUUUACCUUAUACAAAGGGCUCCAUCUGAGGGCUGAAGAGCAACAGGCUCUUACAGCGAGUUUUGGAGUAAGAUACAGGCUGUGCCACCUGCUAGCUAGGUGAUCAUGGACAAGUUGCUUAAUCUUUCUGAGUCUCAGUUUCUUUUACUGAAAAAUGAGAAUAAUGGCAUCUACCAUAAAUGGGGCCUGUGAUAGGAAAUGAGGCAGUGUGUUAUGUAAAACACUUUGACCCAGUGCCUCAAACACAGUAAGCUCUUGACUAUGUUCACAAUUGGAAUAUGAAUGGCUCAGCAUCACAAUGCCUUAUUCAAACCCCUGGAGGACGGGUGGGUUUAGGGAUUGAGAGUAUCUGAGACAUAAUACAGUGCAUGCAUCCUUUGACUUCCCCAGCAAGACCAGGGGAAACUCUAUAAUCAAACAGUGAUAUUUUUGCAACAAAACCUAACAAUGUUCACAUAAAGUGGCAUAAAGAAACACGAAAUAGCACUCACAUCAUGGUGCGGCAUUCACUGGGCCUGCAUGCUCUUUCAGAAAGUAAAUGCAGAGACUAGGGUUUGCAUUGUGAGCAAGGGGCUGUUUGGAAGAGUGGUAGUCAGUCAGCAUCUGUGCUUAAAUGGGGUGACGUCCAUUUUUCCAGGGGUGGGACCGGAUGUUCCUCCCUUGACUCCUCUUUCUUCGUGUCUAUUUGUUCUGGCCCCGUCUGUGCUCCAGGUGGAGGAGAUGGAAACCAUCUUCAACGUCUUUGCACGCGAGGUCAUCUACCCCUCUCUCAAUGCCCAGCUCAAAAAGGGAUUUCCACUCCCUGUUCCAAGGAACAUCUUCCUCAACAGUGUGGAGCUCCAGAUUCAUGAGGUGAGAAGUGGGACCUGGGGGGGGCUCUAAGCCCUGCUGGGAGGUUGCUUCAGGGGCUGGUGGAGAUGGAAGCAAGCCCUGACCCCCACAUACAACCUGGACCUAAUUUUUAAGAAAAAAUAACAAUCUGUUUCAAAUGUUGGAGUAUAAAUAGCAUCUGUAAUCUGGACUCUUGACUUCAUGUACCAAAACUCAUUUCUCAACAAUCCGACAGUCACUGAGCAUCUGUGACUGCAGGGCACUUUAGCCGUGCACAGCAGGAACAUGGGAAAAGGGUCAGAUGAGAUGCCACUUCUGGGUUGAUGAGGGGCCAUCUGAACAGGCCUAGAAUCUCAUUGGUGGUGUGUGGGUUUCCUUAGUCACUGACCAGCCUUCCCAUCCAUAGAAGCAGGGGAUGGUGUGGAGAAAAAUAGAGCAUGCCUUCUAGGUGGAAGGAACUUAGCAGGGGCAGAGGCAGAAACAACCAGAGCACACUUUCAUAGGCCCAGAGGUACUGUGUGCCAGUCUUUGCUGUUCACAGUGGGGUUUUUUGGUGGUGGUGACAGAGGGAGUUCUUGAGAUUUAACUCAGAGGCACUUUACCACUGCGCUAUAUUCCGGGGCUUUUUUUUUUUUUUUAAUUUGAGACAGGGUCUCACUAAAUUGCUGAGGCUAGCCUUGAACUUGCGAUCCUCCUGUCUCAGCCUUCUGAGCUGCUGGGAUUACAGGCAUGCACCACUACACCCAGCCACAAUAUAUUCUUUCUUUUUUUUUUUUUUAAUGUUUUUAUAGUUGUAGAUGGGCAACAUGCCUUUAUUUAUUUUUAUGCGGUGCUAAGGAUUGAACCCAGUGCCUCACACAUGCUAGGCAAGCGCUUUGCCACUGAGCCACAACCCCAGCCCCUCACAAUAUAUUCCAAGGAAAUCCUGGACAGCAUUUUCCUGGAAUUGAGUAUCACAGGCAACAGCCAAUUGUGACUUAUUUUUCUGGGGGCACAAAUUUUAGAGAAGGAAGGUGACAUUUGUGGGUAUCUGACAGAAAUCAGUAACUUG